AUGGACGCAAUGGAGGUCGAGGAGGGUCCUCUUCUGGCCAUUGAUGCCAAGUUACACGCUGGAAUGUGCAGAGCAUUUCAUCCUGCGGUUUCUAAACUUUUAGCGAUUUUCCCGUUCAUCGAAGCAUCAAGGCCCAGAAGCAAGUCUGGCAUACAGGCACUGUGUUCACUACAUGUAGCUCUGGAUAAAUCCAAAGGUCUUCUUCAACAUUGUGCAGAUUGUAGCCGGCUGUACUUGGCCAUCACCGCAGAAACUGUGCAUUUGAAGUUUGAGAAAUCAAGAAGCCAACUUCAGGAAAGUCUUCGGCGUGUUGAAAGCAUAGUAACCGAAGAUAUUGGCCAUAAGAUUGUGGAGAUCAUUGGUGAGCUGGAGGAGGUUGUAUUUACAUUGGAUCAAUCAGAGAAGGAAGCUGGUGAUGAGGUGAUCAAUUUGCUCCAGAGAAACAAUAAAAUGAACAGUUCCAGCGACAGUGGGGAGCUUGAGGUCUUUCAUAUGGCUGCUCUGAAGCUGGGAAUUACUUCUUCCAGGGCAGCAUUGACUGAGAGAAGAGCCCUCAAGAAGCUAAUUGAAAAGGCUCGUUCUGGAGAUGAUAAGCGGAAGGAGUUUGUUGUGUCCUACCUAUACAAUCUCAUGAGGAAAUACUCGAAAUUUUUCAGAAGUGAAGCAGGCGAUGAUACCGAUUCACAAGGAUCAGCCCCAUGUUCACCUACAGUAUUAGGCAUGGAUGACAUGUAUGGCCCCUGCGGAAAUAGCCGAGCAUUCAGUAGACAGCUUUCGAGUAUUCAAUCAUUUAAUUCGAGGUUUGGGUCUUUCAAUUCGAGGCUUGGAUCAUUCAAUUGUAGGCCUAGUGGUCCAAGGUCCGAAAACAUGUCGAUCCCUCCUGAGGAACUCAGAUGUCCCAUUUCCUUGCAGCUGAUGUAUGACCCGGUUAUUGUUUCGUCUGGUCAGACUUAUGAGCGUGUUUGCAUUGAAAAAUGGUUUAAUGAUGGUCACAGCACAUGUCCCAAGACUCAGCAACAACUGGCCCACUUGUCUUUGACUCCAAACUACUGUGUUAAGGCCAUGAUUUCCAGCUGGUGUGAGCAGAAUGAGUUUCCAGUUCCAGAUGGUCCACCGGGAUCCUUUGAUGUAAAUUGGAGGCUUGCUUUAUCGGACUCCCAGGCAACAGGCUGUGUGUCUGUUGAUAGUUUUGACACCAGCAACAUCAAGGGUGUCAAGGUGGUUCCCCUGGAGAACGAGACAAGAGAAGAACCGGCAAACAGCGAAUCAGGCACAUUGGAUGAUAGUUCUUGUUUUGAGUUUGAUAUGAAUGAGGGGUAUCGGAACUUGCUGCUGGUGCUUAAUGAAAGAAGCAACAUACUGAGCCAGUGCAGAUUGGUUGAGCAGAUAAGAUAUCUGCUGAAAGAUGAUGAGGAAGCAAGGAUCCAGAUGGGCUCAAAUGGGUUUGCUGAGGCUCUAGUUCAGUUCUUAAGGUAUUCCGUGGAAGAAGGAAAUGAGAAGGCACAAGAAGUUGGUGCCAUGGCUCUUUUCAACCUUGCAGUCAAUAAUAAUAGAAACAAGGGACUUCUGUUGUCUGCUGGAAUAGUCGAACUACUUGAGCAGAUGACCUCGAAUCCACGCCUAGCUGCUGCAGCCACGGCGCUCUACCUUAACCUUUCCUGCCUCACCGACGCGAAGAGCGUGAUUGCUUCCACGCAGGCUGUGCCAUUCCUAGUGGACCGUCUGUACAACCACGAUGCCUGCGACCCGAAAGCCAGCUCCUGCAAGCAUGAUGCCCUCUACACGCUGUACAACCUCUCCACCCACCAGGCCAGCAUCCCGUCGCUCCUGUCGGCCGGCAUCGUGGAUGCGCUCCACACGCUCCUGACGGACUCCUCGGUGUCCGAGGGCAUCGGGUGGACGGAGAAGGCCCUGGCGGUGUCCAUCAGCCUGGCGGCGACCCAGGCCGGCAGGAAGGAGAUCAUGUCCACCCCGGGGCUGGUGAGCACGCUGGCGAUGCUGCUGGACACGGGGGAGCCGACGGAGCAGGAGCAGGCGGUGUCGUGCCUCCUGGCGAUGUGCGCGGCGGACGACAAGUGCAUUGCGCCGGUGCUGCAGGAGGGCGUGGUGCCGUCGCUGGUCUCCAUCUCGGCGACCGGCACGGGGCGGGGGCGGGAGAAGGCCCAGAAGCUGCUGAAGCUGUUCCGGGAGCAGCGGCAGCGUGACGGUGGGCAACCGCCCGCGUCUCAGCAGCAGCAGCAGCAGGCCCCGUCGUCGGAGGCCGGGAACGGGAACGGGAACGGGAACGGGAACGGCGGUGGGGUGAUGGUGUGCCACCGGGAGUCGAAGCCGCUGUGCAAGUCCAAGUCGAGGAAGCUGGGGCGGACGCUGAGCUCGCUGUGGAAGAACCGCGGCUUCUCCCUCUACCAGUGCUAG
RNAcentral lists this ribosomal RNA (2415 nucleotides) under Triticum aestivum (bread wheat). Its description in RNAcentral is "partial small subunit ribosomal RNA". Lineage: Eukaryota; Viridiplantae; Streptophyta; Magnoliopsida; Poales; Poaceae. The record is from RNAcentral.